RNAcentral lists this ribosomal RNA (457 nucleotides) under uncultured bacterium. Its description in RNAcentral is "bacterial SSU rRNA". It matches the Rfam family "Bacterial small subunit ribosomal RNA", at positions 29 to 530 of the family's 1533-position model. The record is from RNAcentral.
AACGAACGCUGGCGGCAGGCCUAACACAUGCAAGUCGAGCGAGGUAGCAAUACCUAGCGGCGGACGGGUGAGUAACGCGUGGGAACGUACCCUUUGCUACGGAAUAGCCCCGGGAAACUGGGAGUAAUACCGUAUGUGCCCUUCGGGGGAAAGAUUUAUCGGCAAAGGAUCGGCCCGCGUUGGAUUAGGUAGUUGGUGGGGUAAUGGCCUACCAAGCCGACGAUCCAUAGCUGGUUUGAGAGGAUGAUCAGCCACACUGGGACUGAGACACGGCCCAGACUCCUACGGGAGGCAGCAGUGGGGAAUCUUAGACAAUGGGCGCAAGCCUGAUCUAGCCAUGCCGCGUGAGUGAUGAAGGCCUUAGGGUUGUAAAGCUCUUUCAGAUGGGAAGAUAAUGACGGUACCAUCAGAAGAAGCCCCGGCUAACUCCGUGCCAGCAGCCGCGGUAAAGUCAGUG